GAGUUUGAUCGUGGCUCAGGAUGAACGCUGGCGGCGUGCCUAAUACAUGCAAGUCGAGCGAACGGACGAGAAGCUUGCUUCUCUGAUGUUAGCGGCGGACGGGUGAGUAACACGUGGAUAACCUACCUAUAAGACUGGGAUAACUUCGGGAAACCGGAGCUAAUACCGGAUAAUAUUUUGAACCGCAUGGUUCAAAAGUGAAAGACGGUCUUGCUGUCACUUAUAGAUGGAUCCGCGCUGCAUUAGCUAGUUGGUAAGGUAACGGCUUAUCAAGGCAACGAUGCAUAGCCGACCUGAGAGGGUGAUCGGCCACACUGGAACUGAGACACGGUCCAGACUCCUACGGGAGGCAGCAGUAGGGAAUCUUCCGCAAUGGGCGAAAGCCUGACGGAGCAACGCCGCGUGAGUGAUGAAGGUCUUCGGAUCGUAAAACUCUGUUAUUAGGGAAGAACAUAUGUGUAAGUAACUGUGCACAUCUUGACGGUACCUAAUCAGAAAGCCACGGCUAACUACG
This 514-nucleotide ribosomal RNA is filed under the name uncultured microorganism. RNAcentral's name for it is "bacterial SSU rRNA". It matches the Rfam family "Bacterial small subunit ribosomal RNA", at positions 9 to 505 of the family's 1533-position model. The record is from RNAcentral.